GUGGUGACUCAACACAGGCUGGAGGUCCACCGGUUUCCCAAAGAUUCCUGGCUUCGAGAGCUUGAGUUCACUCAGUCAACAUCACAAAAACAGGUCUCCCCUGCUCAUUGCUUUCAAUCCCUGGGGACAGUGAUAUCAGACAUGUGCAGUUUAUGGAACCCCACACUGUCAAUAAAGGUCUGAAGAUCAAGGUUCCCUCCCCAGUGCAAUACAAUCCAUACCUUUUCAACCCAAUUUGGUCCUUUUCAUGUACAGGGACAGCACCAUAGCGCUCAUUGACAGCACUGAUGGGACCCUCAUCUGUAAUUUGGUGCUUCCAGCUCCACAGUCCUUAGCUACUCCAUGGGACCCAGUCUUUCUGCUGGACCCAGAGAGACAGUUACUGUUCAUAAGAGGUACUAAAUCAUUCCCUUCCCCAGACCGAGGAUAUUGUAUGGGUUAAUAUUGUAUACAGUCAAGCAGAACGAGUCAUCCAUCUAACAGCGGACAGUUUAGGUCAUCUUUAUACCGUAUAAAAGAAACUAACUCAGAUUCAGUUAGUGAUGUACCACCAAUUUGUUGCCACAAGGUGGCAGUUGAUUUCAUUUUAAUAUUUCUACAAAAUGGUUAUGAUGGCAGCUGCUUCAGUAAAUUGACAGAUUAUUGUCUUAUCUCUUAGCAAAAUGGUUCAAUCUAACUGAAAAAAGAUUGGAAUGAAAAAUAUGUAUCGAAGUCUCUUCACUGUUUACACAAACUAGUGCAGUAAAAUCAUGCUGUACUUUCUUUCUAGAAGAAUUGUUUCUAGAAGAUUACAUUAAGAUAAACUGUAUAAAUAUUAGCAUGACGAUUAUGUAAACAACAGGAACAGACUACAUCCCAUAAAACAUCACCUCAGGGAGGUGAUGUCCUUCCUGGAGGAAUAUGGUAAAGUCUCGGGGUGUUUGUUAUAUAAUUCAGAUCAGAUCAAAUGAAAGAAAGAUAUAAACUGAAGUGGCAUUCAGUACCUAUUAAAUUCCUGCGGGUUAAUUUGCCAAAAUACCCCUGAAAGCUAUUUCUUUUAAAUUAUGACCCUUUAACCCUAAUAAUCAAAGAUGAUAUGUCCAGGUGGAAUCUGCUUCCUCUGUCCCCGAAUUCUAGAGUGGAAGCUGUCAAAAUGAAUGUGUUGCCAAGACUACUGUACCUAUUUCAAACCUUGCCAGUAGAGAUUUCCCCAGGGCAGUUUAAUGCGAUUCACUCAUUUCAAGAUUCAUUUGGAACAGCUAAAGGCCAAGAAUCAGAUUAAGGCAGUUCAUCUAUCAAAAGAGAGAGGAGGGCUGGCACUGCCUUGUCCCUGGAUGUUUUGAACAUUCAGCAGAAUCAUAUCCACAGUUAUAUGUCUGUGUUUUAUAACCUUGCCAGUAUUUAGGUGUGCCACUGUUUAGAUCAAUUGAACAGUAAUAUCAUUUUAUAAGAAGUUCUGUAAUUAAGUGGCAAAAAAAAAAAACAAACCCAGUAAGUAAGUAGAGCCCAUACAUUAAUGCCUCCCUUUAACUCAGCAGUGAACAGACCACGGUCACAGAAUUAUACCAUUGCGAGUCUGUACUGGCUGACAAGAGAAAAUGAGUCUCAGCAGCAGACCUUGCUGAACAAGUUUGAAUACUUUUUUAAAAUGCAUAGCUUGUGUAAGAAUGCCCCUAGAGAAUGUAUAUAGUUACCUUCUGCUGAACUUAUGGAUGAAUUGUUUCAUAAUAGCGGCACCAUUUUACUUGUAAAUCAUUGCCUAGCUCUUACUGUGUUUUAAUUAUGAAAUGUGUCUUAAAGGAUUGCAGUUAGUCAGAGCCCCGUUUAUUUAGCAUUACAUCUGUUUAUGUUUCUUAAGUUUAUCAUUUUUACGUGCAGGGAGGCAUAGGCUAAUGAGCACACACCGAUCAAGCUAUAAAAGGAUUCGGUGACAAGUUGAAUAAUAAUAUUAUGAUUGGAUAGACGUUAAACCUUGGUUUGGAAGCAGGUGUAGUAAAAUGUAUGUCUGAUUAAUGAGCAUUGAACCAGAUGGUAGGUUUACCCGGAGGGAAUUAUUCCUAUAUGGUACACAGCAUACCUCCAAAGAGGCAAUUGCUGUGUGUAGUACAUUCUAAGCAAUUUUAUUUAGUUCUCCGAGUGCUAAAAAACAUAAUGUGUGUAAAAGACAAAAACAGAUAGUGUGUUUAAUAAAACAUUAAGGGCAAUCGAUGCAGUGACGUGUUUCUUAUCAGUUUAGUGCAAGAGGAUUUGUCAUCACUCAGCAGGCUUCCCUAGAGUACGGCACAGUUUUAAACAGCUUUCUUGCCUCAGAGUUGUUAAAGAGAACACAACCAGUUGUCAUCAGUUCAUUUUAUGCCAGCGAUUAUAUUACUAUAGUGUAUAGUGUCUCUAGUACUGGUGAAAAAUAUAAAUAUUUUUUAUUAAAUCAAGGAAAGAGUUCAGCUGGCUGUAAAGACUACAUGAGCAUCAUUUUUUUGUCGACAAAGCUCUGCCAAAACCCCAAAUUCCGAAUGCAUUUCCUGCAAUAUGCAGUGCAAAUUAUACAAAUCUGCUGAAGCUAGAAACUGCAAGCCUUGAGUUAAUUAACUGGUUCACUAUCCAUAUUAAAAUGAUGAGUCUGCAUUGUUCUGCAUCUGAAGCUGAAUUGUAGAGCUUGUUUUAAAAUGCAGCUGUAUCCAACAAGCCUUCUACUCAUGGAAAAGACUAAUGUUGCACAAUACUUCUUAA
Molecule: long non-coding RNA, 2706 nt
Organism: Polyodon spathula (Mississippi paddlefish)
Lineage: Eukaryota; Metazoa; Chordata; Actinopteri; Acipenseriformes; Polyodontidae
Exons: 4
Source: RefSeq, a predicted model, not a curated record